Molecule: long non-coding RNA, 247 nt
Filed under: Solanum tuberosum (potato)
Lineage: Eukaryota; Viridiplantae; Streptophyta; Magnoliopsida; Solanales; Solanaceae
Description: long non-coding RNA (STUB_LNC006513)
Source: RNAcentral
UUGUGUCUCAGUAAAGUGAAGCACGGACGGACAACAUGGUCCGUAGAGUUGAUUCGACAGUUAAUUCUCAGGGUUAAUUGAGUAUUUUCCUACUCUUUUAAUUUUUAUACUACAUUAUUUUUAGCCUAUUUUGAGGAACUAUAACCAUUUCUAAGACUCAUAUGUUGAACAAAAUAAAAUUGAGCAAGUAGCUAAGAGACUCUGCUGGAAAAAAGUUUGUUGAGAAGGAUGAUAUCGCAAUAUAUAU